RNAcentral lists this small nuclear RNA (315 nucleotides) under Chinchilla lanigera (long-tailed chinchilla). RNAcentral's name for it is "7SK RNA (ENSCLAG00000022073.1)". It matches the Rfam family "7SK RNA". From Rfam's summary of the family: 7SK was discovered as an abundant small nuclear RNA in the mid-70s but a possible function has only recently been suggested. Two independent studies have found that 7SK RNA binds the CDK9/cyclin T complex (known as elongation factor P-TEFb). P-TEFb activates transcription by phosphorylating the C-terminal domain of RNA polymerase II. The record is from RNAcentral. Lineage: Eukaryota; Metazoa; Chordata; Mammalia; Rodentia; Chinchillidae.
AGGUGUGAUGGCAAUCUGCCUGGGACAUGGUACCCAACUGACCCCCAUGGAUUGCCAGCGUUUAUUUGGCUGAUCUGCCUGGCUAGACCACUGUCCCUCUCCUCCUUCAUCAAUCCAUAUUUGUCCUGGAAGUUGCACACGCAGAGAUCACCUUUCCCCUAGGAUGGGUCUUCUCUCAGGAUAGUAGGUGUGGCUGGGUUCUCCUGCUAGGACCUUGCAACCAACUCACAAGGCCCAUUAACAGGAGAAGGCAAGGUGGUCAAACUUCCAAGACCUUUAGAUAGGUCCAGAUAGACUCCAGAUGGAUGUACAUAU